RNAcentral lists this ribosomal RNA (483 nucleotides) under uncultured bacterium. RNAcentral describes it as "bacterial SSU rRNA". It matches the Rfam family "Bacterial small subunit ribosomal RNA", at positions 29 to 507 of the family's 1533-position model. The record is from RNAcentral.
AUGAACGCUAGCGGCAGGCUUAACACAUGCAAGUCGAGGGGCAGCACAGGUAGCAAUACUGGGUGGCGACCGGCGCAAGGGUGCGUAACGCGUGAGCAACAUGCCCGUAUCAGGGGGAUAAUCCAUGGAAACGUGGUCUAAUACCCCAUAGUAAGUUUCAGAGGCAUCUUUGAGAUUUUAAAGCUUUGGUGGAUACGGAUUGGCUCGCGUGACAUUAGCUGGAUGGUAGGGUAACGGCUUACCAUGGCUACGAUGUCUAGGGGUUCUGAGAGGAAGGUCCCCCACACUGGAACUGAGACACGGUCCAGACUCCUACGGGAGGCAGCAGUGAGGAAUAUUGGACAAUGGAUGGAAAUCUGAUCCAGCCAUGCCGCGUGCAGGAAGACGGCCCUAUGGGUUGUAAACUGCUUUUGUAUGGGAGCAAUAAGAUCUACGUGUAGAUUGAUGAGAGUACCAUACGAAUAAGCACCGGCUAACUCCGUG